Molecule: ribosomal RNA, 263 nt
Filed under: uncultured fungus
Lineage: Eukaryota; Fungi
Description: partial 18S ribosomal RNA
Rfam family: Eukaryotic small subunit ribosomal RNA (bases 1-67)
Source: RNAcentral
UUGGUCAUUUAGAGGAAGUAAAAGUCGUAACAAGGUCUCCGUUGGUGAACCAGCGGAGGGAUCAUUACCGAGUUUACAACUCCCAAACCCCUGUGAACAUACCACUUGUUGCCUCGGCGGAUCAGCCCGCUCCCGGUAAAACGGGACGGCCCGCCAGAGGACCCCUAAACUCUGUUUCUAUAUGUAACUUCUGAGUAAAACCAUAAAUAAAUCAAAACUUUCAACAACGGAUCUCUUGGUUCUGGCAUCGAUGAAGAACGCAG